This 194-nucleotide non-coding RNA is filed under the name Human mastadenovirus B. The record is from RNAcentral. Lineage: Varidnaviria; Bamfordvirae; Preplasmiviricota; Pharingeaviricetes; Rowavirales; Adenoviridae.
CGACUCGACUCCGUAGCCUGGAGGAACGUGAACGGGUUGGGUCGCGGUGUACCCCGGUUCGAGACUUGUACUCGAGCCGGCCGGAGCCGCGGCUAACGUGGUAUUGGCACUCCCGUCUCGACCCAGCCUACAAAAAUCCAGGAUACGGAAUCGAGUCGUUUUGCUGGUUGCCGAAUGGCAGGGAAGUGAGUCCU